GGCGAAGGAGGCGGCGUGCCAGGCGCAGGGCUGGGAGGCGCAGGCGACGGCGGGGGCACACCCGGCGUGGGGCUGGGCGGCUCCGGCGAAGGCGGCGGAGUACCAGGCGCAGGGCUGGGAGGCGCAGGCGACGGCGGGGGUACACCCGGACCGGGGCUGGGCGGCUCCGGCGAAGGCGGCGGCGUGCCAGGCGCAGGGCUGGGAGGCGCAGGCGACGGCGGGGGCACGCCCGGCGCGGGGCUGGGCGGCUCCGGCGAAGGAGGCGGCGUGCCAGGCGCAGGGCUGGGAGGCGCAGGCGACGGCGGGGGCACACCCGGUCCGGGGCUGGGCGGCUCCGGCGAAGGCGGCGGCGUGCCAGGCGCAGGGCUGGGAGGCGCAGGCGACGGCGGGGGCACACCCGGCGCGGGGCUGGGCGGCUCCGGCGAAGGCGGCGGCGUGCCAGGCGCAGGGCUGGGAGGCGCAGGCGACGGCGGGGGCACACCCGGCGCGGGGCUGGGCGGCUCCGGCGAAGGCGGCGGCGUGCCAGGCGCAGGGCUGGGAGGCGCAGGCGACGGCGGGGGCACACCCGGCGCGGGGCUGGGCGGCUCCGGCGAAGGCGGUGGCGUGCCAGGCGCAGGGCUGGGAGGCGCAGGCGACGGCGGGGGCACACCCGGCGCGGGGCUAGGCGGCUCUGGCGAAGGCGGCGGCGUACCAGGCGCAGGGCUGGGAGGCGCAGGCGACGGCGGGGGCACACCCGGACCGGGGCUGGGCGGCUCCGGCGAAGGUGGCGGCGUGCCAGGCGCGGGGCUGGGAGGCGCAGGCGACGGCGGGGGCACACCCGGCGCGGGGCUGGGCGGCUCCGGCGAAGGCGGCGCAGGGCUGGGAGGCGCAGGGCUGGGCGGCUCCGGCGAAGGCGGCGGCGUGCCAGGCGCAGGGCUGGGAGGCGAAGGCGAAGGCGGGGGCACACCCGGCGCGGGGCUGGGCGGCUCCGGCGAAGGCGGCGGCGUGCCAGGCGCAGGGCUGGGAGGCGCAGGCGACGGCGGGGGCACACCCGGCGCGGGGCUGGGCGGCUCCGGCGAAGGUGGCGGCGUGCCAGGCGCAGGGCUGGGAGGCGCAGGCGACGGCGGGGGUACACCCGGACCGGGGCUGGGCGGCUCCGGCGAAGGCGGCGGCGUGCCAGGCGCAGGGCUGGGAGGCGCAGGCGACGGCGGGGGCACACCCGGCGCGGGGCUGGGCGGCUCCGGCGAAGGUGGCGGCGUGCCAGGCGCAGGGCUGGGAGGCGCAGGCGACGGCGGGGGCACACCCGGCGCGGGGCUGGGCGGCUCCGGCGAAGGCGGCGGCGUGCCAGGCGCAGGGCUGGGAGGCGCAGGCGACGGCGGGGGCACGCCCGGCGCGGGGCUGGGCGGCUCCGGCGAAGGCGGCGGCGUGCCAGGCGCAGGGCUGGGAGGCGCAGGCGACGGCGGGGGCACGCCCGGACCGGGGCUGGGCGGCUCCGGCGAAGGCGGCGGCGUGCCAGGCGCAGGGCUGGGAGGCGCAGGCGACGGCGGGGGCACACCCGGCGCGGGGCUGGGCGGCUCCGGCGAAGGCGGCGGAGUACCAGGCGCAGGGCUGGGAGGGGCAGGCGACGGCGGGGGCACACCCGGCGCGGGGCUGGGCGGCUCCGGCGAAGGCGGCGGCGUGCCAGGCGCAGGGCUGGGAGGCGCAGGGCGACGGCGGGGGCACACCCGGCGCGGGGCUGGGCGGCUCCGGCGAAGGCGGCGGCGUGCCAGGCGCAGGGCUGGGAGGCGCAGGCGACGGCGGGGGCACACCCGGCGCGGGGCUGGGCGGCUCCGGCGAAGGUGGCGGCGUGCCAGGCGCAGGGCUGGGAGGCGCAGGCGACGGCGGGGGCACACCCGGACCGGGGCUGGGCGGCUCCGGCGAAGGCGGCGGCGUGCCAGGCGCAGGGCUGGGAGGCGCAGGCGACGGCGGGGGCACACCCGGCGCGGGGCUGGGCGGCUCCGGCGAAGGCGGCGGCGUGCCAGGCGCAGGGCUGGGAGGUGCAGGCGACGGCGGGGGCACACCCGGCGCGGGGCUGGGCGGCUCCGGCGAAGGCGGUGGCGUGCCAGGCGCAGGGCUGGGAGGCGCAGGCGACGGCGGGGGCACACCCGGCGCGGGGCUAGGCGGCUCUGGCGAAGGCGGCGCAGGGCUGGGAGGCGCAGGGCUGGGAGGCGCAGGCGACGGCGGGGGCACACCCGGUGCGGGGCUGGGCGGCUCCGGCGAAGGCGGCGGAGUACCAGGCGCAGGGCUGGGAGGCGCAGGCGACGGCGGGGGCACGCCCGGACCGGGGCUGGGCGGCUCCGGCGAAGGUGGCGGCGCACCAGGCGCGGGGCUGGGAGGCGCAGGCGACGGCGGGGGCACGCCCGGCGCGGGGCUGGGCGGCUCCGGCGAAGGAGGCGGCGUGCCAGGCGCAGGGCUGGGAGGCGCAGGCGACGGCGGGGGCACACCCGGUCCGGGGCUGGGCGGCUCCGGCGAAGGCGGCGGCGUGCCAGGCGCAGGGCUGGGAGGCGCAGGCGACGGCGGGGGCACACCCGGCGCGGGGCUGGGCGGCUCCGGCGAAGGCGGCGGCGUGCCAGGCGCAGGGCUGGGAGGCGCAGGCGACGGCGGGGGCACACCCGGCGCGGGGCUGGGCGGCUCCGGCGAAGGCGGCGGCGUGCCAGGCGCAGGGCUGGGAGGCGCAGGCGACGGCGGGGGCACACCCGGCGCGGGGCUGGGCGGCUCCGGCGAAGGCGGUGGCGUGCCAGGCGCAGGGCUGGGAGGCGCAGGCGACGGCGGGGGCACACCCGGCGCGGGGCUAGGCGGCUCUGGCGAAGGCGGCGGCGUACCAGGCGCAGGGCUGGGAGGCGCAGGCGACGGCGGGGGCACACCCGGACCGGGGCUGGGCGGCUCCGGCGAAGGUGGCGGCGUGCCAGGCGCGGGGCUGGGAGGCGCAGGCGACGGCGGGGGCACACCCGGCGCGGGGCUGGGCGGCUCCGGCGAAGGCGGCGCAGGGCUGGGAGGCGCAGGGCUGGGAGGCGCAGGCGACGGCGGGGGCACACCCGGCGCAGGGCUGGGCGGCUCCGGCGAAGGCGGUGGCGUGCCAGGCGCAGGGCUGGGAGGCGCAGGCGACGGCGGGGGCACACCCGGCGCGGGGCUAGGCGGCUCUGGCGAAGGCGGCGCAGGGCUGGGAGGCGCAGGGCUGGGAGGCGCAGGCGACGGCGGGGGCACACCAGGUCCGGGGCUGGGCGGCUCCGGCGAAGGCGGCGGCGUGCCAGGCGCAGGGCUGGGAGGCGCAGGCGACGGAGGGGGCACACCCGGCGCGGGGCUGGGCGGCUCCGGCGAAGGCGGCGGCGUGCCAGGCGCAGGGCUGGGAGGCGCAGGCGACGGAGGGGGCACACCCGGCGCGGGGCUGGGCGGCUCCGGCGAAGGCGGCGGCGUGCCAGGCGCAGGGCUGGGAGGCGCAGGCGACGGCGGGGGCACACCCGGACCGGGGCUGGGCGGCUCCGGCGAAGGCGGCGGCGUGCCAGGCGCAGGGCUGGGAGGCGCAGGCGACGGCGGGGGCACACCCGGCGCGGGGCUAGGCGGCUCUGGCGAAGGCGGCGCAGGGCUGGGAGGCGCAGGGCUGGGAGGCGCAGGCGACGGCGGGGGCACACCCGGCGCGGGGCUGGGCGGCUCCGGCGAAGGAGGCGGCGUGCCAGGCGCAGGGCUGGGAGGCGCAGGCGACGGAGGGGGCACACCCGGCGCGGGGCUGGGCGGCUCCGGCGAAGGCGGCGGCGCGCCAGGCGCAGGGCUAGGAGGCGCAGGCGACGGCGGGGGCACACCCGGCGCAGGGCUGGGCGGCUCUGGCGAAGGAGGCGGCGUGCCAGGCGCAGGGCUGGGAGGCGCAGGCGACGGAGGGGGCACACCCGGCGCGGGGCUGGGCGGCUCCGGCGAAGGCGGCGGCGCGCCAGGCGCAGGGCUAGGAGGCGCAGGCGACGGCGGGGGCACACCCGGCGCGGGGCUGGGCGGCUCCGGCGAAGGCGGCGGCGUGCCAGGCGCAGGGCUGGGAGGCGCAGGCGACGGCGGGGGCACACCAGGUCCGGGGCUAGGCGGCUCUGGCGAAGGCGGCGGCGUGCCAGGCGCAGGGCUGGGAGGCGCAGGCGACGGAGGGGGCACACCCGGCGCGGGGCUGGGCGGCUCCGGCGAAGGCGGCGGCGUGCCAGGCGCAGGGCUGGGAGGCGCAGGCGACGGCGGGGGCACACCCGGCGCGGGGCUGGGCGGCUCCGGCGAAGGCGGCGGCGUGCCAGGCGCAGGGCUGGGAGGCGCAGGCGACGGCGGGGGCACACCCGGCGCGGGGCUAGGCGGCUCCGGCGAAGGCGGCGGAGUACCAGGCGCAGGGCUGGGAGGCGCAGGCGACGGCGGGGGCACACCAGGUCCGGGGCUGGGCGGCUCCGGCGAAGGAGGCGGCGUGCCAGGCGCAGGGCUGGGAGGCGCAGGCGACGGAGGGGGCACACCCGGCGCGGGGCUGGGCGGCUCCGGCGAAGGCGGCGGCGCGCCAGGCGCAGGGCUAGGAGGCGCAGGCGACGGCGGGGGCACACCCGGCGCAGGGCUGGGCGGCUCCGGCGAAGGAGGCGGCGUGCCAGGCGCAGGGCUGGGAGGCGCAGGCGACGGCGGGGGCACACCCGGCGCGGGGCUAGGCGGCUCUGGCGAAGGCGGCGCAGGGCUGGGAGGCGCAGGGCUGGGAGGCGCAGGCGACGGCGGGGGCACACCCGGCGCGGGGCUGGGCGGCUCCGGCGAAGGCGGCGGCGUGCCAGGCGCAGGGCUGGGAGGCGCAGGCGACGGCGGGGGCACACCCGGCGCAGGGCUGGGCGGCUCCGGCGAAGGCGGCGGCGUGCCAGGCGCAGGGCUGGGAGGCGCAGGCGACGGAGGGGGCACACCCGGCGCGGGGCUAGGCGGCUCCGGCGAAGGCGGCGGCGUGCCAGGCGCAGGGCUGGGAGGCGCAGGCGACGGCGGGGGCACACCCGGCGCGGGGCUGGGCGGCUCCGGCGAAGGCGGCGGCGUGCCAGGCGCAGGGCUGGGAGGCGCAGGCGACGGCGGGGGCACACCCGGCGCGGGGCUGGGCGGCUCCGGCGAAGGUGGCGGAGUACCAGGCGCAGGGCUGGGAGGCGCAGGCGACGGCGGGGGCACACCCGGCGCAGGGCUGGGCGGCUCCGGCGAAGGCGGCGGCGUGCCAGGCGCAGGGCUAGGAGGCGCAGGCGACGGAGGGGGCACACCCGGCGCGGGGCUAGGCGGCUCCGGCGAAGGUGGCGGCGUACCAGGCGCAGGGCUGGGAGGCGCAGGCGACGGCGGGGGCACACCCGGCGCGGGGCUGGGCGGCUGCGGCGAAGGUGGCGGCGUACCAGGCGCAGGGCUGGGAGGCGCAGGCGACGGCGGGGGCACACCCGGCGCGGGGCUAGGCGGCUCCGGCGAAGGCGGCGGAGUACCAGGCGCAGGGCUGGGAGGCGCAGGCGACGGCGGGGGCACACCCGGCGCGGGGCUAGGCGGCUCCGGCGAAGGCGGCGGAGUACCAGGCGCAGGGCUGGGAGGCGCAGGCGACGGCGGGGGCACACCCGGCGCGGGGCUAGGCGGCUCCGGCGAAGGUGGCGGAGUACCAGGCGCAGGGCUGGGAGGCGCAGGCGACGGCGGGGGCACACCAGGUCCGGGGCUGGGCGGCUCCGGCGAAGGUGGCGGCGUGCCAGGCGCAGGGCUGGGAGGCGCAGGCGACGGCGGGGGCACACCCGGCGCGGGGCUGGGCGGCUGCGGAGAAGGAGGCGGCGUGCCAGGCGCAGGGCUGGGAGGCGCAGGCGACGGCGGGGGCACACCCGGCGCGGGGCUGGGCGGCUCCGGCGAAGGCGGCGGCGCGCCAGGCGCAGGGCUGGGAGGCGCAGGCGACGGCGGGGGCACACCCGGCGCGGGGCUAGGCGGCUCUGGCGAAGGCGGCGGCGUGCCAGGCGCAGGGCUGGGAGGCGCAGGCGACGGAGGGGGCACACCCGGCGCGGGGCUGGGCGGCUCCGGCGAAGGCGGCGGCGUGCCAGGCGCAGGGCUGGGAGGCGCAGGCGACGGAGGGGGCACACCCGGCGCGGGGCUGGGCGGCUCCGGCGAAGGCGGCGGCGUGCCAGGCGCAGGGCUGGGAGGCGCAGGCGACGGCGGGGGCACACCCGGCGCGGGGCUGGGCGGCUCCGGCGAAGGCGGCGGCGUGCCAGGCGCAGGGCUGGGAGGCGCAGGCGACGGCGGGGGCACACCCGGCGCGGGGCUAGGCGGCUCCGGCGAAGGCGGCGGAGUACCAGGCGCAGGGCUGGGAGGCGCAGGCGACGGCGGGGGCACACCAGGUCCGGGGCUGGGCGGCUCCGGCGAAGGAGGCGGCGUGCCAGGCGCAGGGCUGGGAGGCGCAGGCGACGGCGGGGGCACACCCGGCGCGGGGCUGGGCGGCUCCGGCGAAGGCGGCGGAGUACCAGGCGCAGGGCUGGGAGGCGCAGGCGACGGCGGGGGCACACCCGGCGCGGGGCUAGGCGGCUCCGGCGAAGGCGGCGGAGUACCAGGCGCAGGGCUGGGAGGCGCAGGCGACGGCGGGGGCACACCCGGCGCGGGGCUAGGCGGCUCCGGCGAAGGCGGCGGCGUACCAGGCGCAGGGCUGGGAGGCGCAGGCGACGGCGGGGGCACACCCGGCGCGGGGCUAGGCGGCUCCGGCGAAGGUGGCGGCGUACCAGGCGCAGGGCUGGGAGGCGCAGGCGACGGCGGGGGCACACCCGGCGCGGGGCUGGGCGGCUCCGGCGAAGGAGGCGGCGUGCCAGGCGCAGGGCUGGGAGGCGCAGGCGACGGAGGGGGCACACCCGGCGCGGGGCUGGGCGGCUCCGGCGAAGGCGGCGGCGUGCCAGGCGCAGGGCUGGGAGGCGAAGGCGAAGGCGGGGGCACACCCGGACCGGGGCUGGGCGGCUCCGGCGAAGGCGGCGCAGGGGUGGGAGGCGCAGGGCUGGGAGGCGCAGGCGACGGCGGGGGCACACCCGGCGCGGGGCUGGGCGGCUCCGGCGAAGGCGGUGGCGUGCCAGGCGCAGGGCUGGGAGGCGCAGGCGACGGCGGGGGCACACCCGGCGCGGGGCUAGGCGGCUCUGGCGAAGGCGGCGCAGGGCUGGGAGGCGCAGGGCUGGGAGGCACAGGCGACGGCGGGGGCACACCCGGUGCGGGGCUGGGCGGCUCCGGCGAAGGCGGCGCAGGGCUGGGAGGCGCAGGGCUGGGAGGCGAAGGCGAAGGCGGGGGCACACCCGGUCCGGGGCUGGGCGGCUCCGGCGAAGGUGGCGGCGUGCCAGGCGCAGGGCUGGGAGGCGCAGGCGACGGCGGGGGCACACCCGGCGCGGGGCUGGGCGGCUCCGGCGAAGGCGGUGGCGUGCCAGGCGCAGGGCUGGGAGGCGCAGGCGACGGCGGGGGCACACCCGGCGCGGGGCUGGGCGGCUCCGGCGAAGGUGGCGGCGUGCCAGGCGCAGGGCUGGGAGGCGCAGGCGACGGCGGGGGCACACCCGGCGCAGGGCUGGGCGGCUCCGGCGAAGGCGGCGGCGUGCCAGGUGCAGGGCUGGGAGGCGCAGGCGACGGCGGGGGCACGCCCGGCGCGGAGCUGGGCGGCUCCGGCGAAGGCGGCGGCGUGCCAGGCGCAGGGCUGGGAGGCGCAGGCGACGGCGGGGGCACACCCGCCGCGGGGCUGGGCGGCUCCGGCGAAGGCGGCGGCGUGCCAGGCGCAGGGCUGGGAGGCGCAGGCGACGGCGGGGGCACACCCGGCGCGGGGCUGGGCGGCUCCGGCGAAGGUGGCGGCGUGCCAGGCGCAGGGCUGGGAGGCGCAGGCGACGGCGGGGGCACACCCGGCGCGGGGCUAGGCGGCUCUGGCGAAGGCGGCGCAGGGCUGGGAGGCGCAGGGCUGGGAGGCGCAGGCGACGGCGGGGGCACACCCGGUGCGGGGCUGGGCGGCUCCGGCGAAGGCGGCGGAGUACCAGGCGCAGGGCUGGGAGGCGCAGGCGACGGCGGGGGCACGCCCGGACCGGGGCUAGGCGGCUCUGGCGAAGGUGGCGGCGUACCAGGCGCGGGGCUGGGAGGCGCAGGCGACGGCGGGGGCACGCCCGGCGCGGGGCUGGGCGGCUCCGGCGAAGGAGGCGGCGUGCCAGGCGCAGGGCUGGGAGGCGCAGGCGACGGCGGGGGCACACCCGGUCCGGGGCUGGGCGGCUCCGGCGAAGGCGGCGGCGUGCCAGGCGCAGGGCUGGGAGGCGCAGGCGACGGCGGGGGCACACCCGGCGCGGGGCUGGGCGGCUCCGGCGAAGGCGGCGGCGUGCCAGGCGCAGGGCUGGGAGGCGCAGGCGACGGCGGGGGCACACCCGGCGCGGGGCUGGGCGGCUCCGGCGAAGGCGGCGGCGUGCCAGGCGCAGGGCUGGGAGGCGCAGGCGACGGCGGGGGCACACCCGGCGCGGGGCUGGGCGGCUCCGGCGAAGGCGGUGGCGUGCCAGGCGCAGGGCUGGGAGGCGCAGGCGACGGCGGGGGCACACCCGGCGCGGGGCUAGGCGGCUCUGGCGAAGGCGGCGGCGUACCAGGCGCAGGGCUGGGAGGCGCAGGCGACGGCGGGGGCACACCCGGACCGGGGCUGGGCGGCUCCGGCGAAGGUGGCGGCGUGCCAGGCGCGGGGCUGGGAGGCGCAGGCGACGGCGGGGGCACACCCGGCGCGGGGCUGGGCGGCUCCGGCGAAGGCGGCGCAGGGCUGGGAGGCGCAGGGCUGGGCGGCUCCGGCGAAGGCGGCGGCGUGCCAGGCGCAGGGCUGGGAGGCGAAGGCGAAGGCGGGGGCACACCCGGCGCGGGGCUGGGCGGCUCCGGCGAAGGUGGCGGCGUGCCAGGCGCAGGGCUGGGAGGUGCAGGCGACGGCGGGGGCACACCCGGCGCGGGGCUGGGCGGCUCCGGCGAAGUCGGCGGCGUGCCAGGCCUUUCCAGCACANNNNNNNNNNNNNNNNNNNNNNNNNNNNNNNNNNNNNNNNNNNNNNNNNNNNNNNNNNNNNNNNNNNNNNNNNNNNNNNNNNNNNNNNNNNNNNNNNNNNGGGCACCACAGGCGCGGGGCUAGGCGGCUCCGGCGAAGGCGGCGGAGUACCAGGCGCAGGGCUGGGAGGCGCAGGCGACGGCGGGGGCACACCCGGCGCGGGGCUAGGCGGCUCCGGCGAAGGUGGCGGCGUACCAGGCGCAGGGCUGGGAGGCGCAUGCGACGGCGGGGGCACACCAGGUCCGGGGCUGGGCGGCUCCGGCGAAGGCGGCGGCGUGCCAGGCGCAGGGCUGGGAGGCGCAGGCGACGGAGGGGGCACACCCGGCGCGGGGCUGGGCGGCUCCGGCGAAGGCGGCGGCGUGCCAGGCGCAGGGCUGGGAGGCGCAGGCGACGGAGGGGGCACACCCGGCGCGGGGCUGGGCGGCUCCGGCGAAGGCGGCGGCGUGCCAGGCGCAGGGCUGGGAGGCGCAGGCGACGGCGGGGGCACACCCGGCGCGGGGCUGGGCGGCUCCGGCGAAGGCGGCGGCGUGCCAGGCGCAGGGCUGGGAGGCGCAGGCGACGGCGGGGGCACACCCGGCGCGGGGCUAGGCGGCUCCGGCGAAGGCGGCGGAGUACCAGGCGCAGGGCUGGGAGGCGCAGGCGACGGCGGGGGCACACCAGGUCCGGGGCUGGGCGGCUCCGGCGAAGGAGGCGGCGUGCCAGGCGCAGGGCUGGGAGGCGCAGGCGACGGAGGGGGCACACCCGGCGCGGGGCUGGGCGGCUCCGGCGAAGGCGGCGGCGCGCCAG
RNAcentral lists this long non-coding RNA (9799 nucleotides) under Chlamydomonas reinhardtii. RNAcentral describes it as "long non-coding RNA (CREI_LNC001136)". Lineage: Eukaryota; Viridiplantae; Chlorophyta; Chlorophyceae; Chlamydomonadales; Chlamydomonadaceae. The record is from RNAcentral.